GCGUGAGUGAAGAAGGCCUUAGGGUUGUAAAACUCUUUCGCCGGUGAAGAUAAUGACGGUAGCCGGAGAAGAAGCCCCGGCUAACUUCGUGCCAGCAGCCGCGGUAAUACGAAGGGGGCUAGCGUUGUUCGGAAUUACUGGGCGUAAAGCGCACGUAGGCGGAUUCGUAAGUUGGGGGUGAAAUCCCCGGGCUCAACCCGGGAACUGCCUUCAAAACUGCGGAUCUGGAGGUCAGGAGAGGCGAGCGGAAUUCCGAGUGUAGAGGUGAAAUUCGU
RNAcentral lists this ribosomal RNA (275 nucleotides) under uncultured bacterium. Its description in RNAcentral is "partial 16S ribosomal RNA". It matches the Rfam family "Bacterial small subunit ribosomal RNA", at positions 399 to 691 of the family's 1533-position model. The record is from RNAcentral.